RNAcentral lists this long non-coding RNA (727 nucleotides) under Prunus persica (peach). Its description in RNAcentral is "long non-coding RNA (PPER_LNC004296)". The record is from RNAcentral. Lineage: Eukaryota; Viridiplantae; Streptophyta; Magnoliopsida; Rosales; Rosaceae.
UUUGCUUUUUAAAAAACGUGAGACGUGUAUAGAACACAAAUGUAUUAUUAAAAAAUACGUACGUACGUACGUGUAUAUAUAUAUAUGUAAAAGACCAUAGCCGCUCGUCUAUACUAAUUUAUUAAAAACAAUUUUUAGAAAAGAAAAAAAAACAGUAUAACCUCCCGGCUAUAUUAUUUUUAAAUUAAAUAAUUAAUUAUUUAACUAAUCGGUUUUAAUUUGAAUAACAGAGCCCAAGAGCCUCAAGGCUCAAGGUCCAUCUUUUGAUUAAUUAAAUAUAUUAAUUAACCAUUAGCCCAACUAAUUAGGCAUUUAACCGAAGGUUAUAUCCACAAGCCACUCAAUUGGGUCACUUACAUGGUCAAUACAAACUAUUCUAUUUCCAAGAGCAUAUCUUAUAAAGACCUCCAAGGAUCUCUAUUUUUCCAAUGUGGGAGCUCAAACAUGUUUGCAAUACCUUGGAAAACCAACAAAACUAUUAUGUUUCCGCACACAUUAUUUGUUGUAGAGAAUUGCAUGCUGAGUUGUAGUGUUCUUGGUAAUUGCUUCACUUUUGAAAUAACACUUUACAUGAAGAAUACUAUCACCUCUCUUACUACUAUACUCAUACUUUCCAAGUACUAGUAGUCUUUCCAUUAACUAUAAUCUAAGACCAUACUUUUUCUAAAGAGUCUUUUUUAAUUUUGGGAUCAGAUAAUGUGUCUGAUCUCUAAAUGUACAUUUUGCG